AGUGAACGCUGGCGGUAGGCCUAACACAUGCAAGUCGAACGGCAGCACAGUAAGAGCUUGCUCUUACGGGUGGCGAGUGGCGGACGGGUGUGGAAUAUAUCGGAAUCUACUUUUUCGUGGGGGAUAACGUAGGGAAACUUACGCUAAUACCGCAUACGACCUACGGGUGAAAGCAGGGGAUCUUCGGACCUUGCGCGAUUGAAUGAGCCGAUGUCGGAUUAGCUAGUUGGCGGGGUAAAGGCCCACCAAGGCGACGAUCCGUAGCUGGUCUGAGAGGAUGAUCAGCCACACUGGAACUGAGACACGGUCCAGACUCCUACGGGAGGCAGCAGUGGGGAAUAUUGGACAAUGGGCGCAAGCCUGAUCCAGCCAUACCGCGUGGGUGAAGAAGGCCUUCGGGUUGUAAAGCCCUUUUGUUGGGAAAGAAAAGCAGCAGGUUAAUACCCCGCUGUUCCGACGGUACCCAAAGAAUAAGCACCGGCUAACUUCGUG
This 492-nucleotide ribosomal RNA is filed under the name uncultured bacterium. RNAcentral describes it as "partial 16S ribosomal RNA". It matches the Rfam family "Bacterial small subunit ribosomal RNA", at positions 29 to 507 of the family's 1533-position model. The record is from RNAcentral.